GCAGAUAUUUUGCAGAUAUGUUGACAGAUAAUCAACAUAUCUGCAAAAUAUCUGCAACUUUUAUGCAGAUGUUUUGCAGAUAUGUUGACAGAUAAUCAACAUAUCUGAAAAAUAUCUGC
Molecule: non-coding RNA, 119 nt
Organism: Paramuricea clavata
Lineage: Eukaryota; Metazoa; Cnidaria; Anthozoa; Malacalcyonacea; Plexauridae
Source: the annotation of a GenBank genome assembly